RNAcentral lists this long non-coding RNA (222 nucleotides) under Phoenix dactylifera (date palm). RNAcentral describes it as "long non-coding RNA (PDAC_LNC022062)". The record is from RNAcentral. Lineage: Eukaryota; Viridiplantae; Streptophyta; Magnoliopsida; Arecales; Arecaceae.
ACCAGCCCCUCUCCUCUCUUAGUUCAGCCGCAAGCAGGAAAGGAUCUCCAAGUGUUGGCGGCCUCCUCCCCUUCCCUUCCUUCAUCCAACGCAAGGAACAAAAGAAGGCUGCGUGGGGUUCUUUCUUCUUCCUCAUCUUCAUCCUUCUUCUUCCUCCUCUCAAGCACAAUCAAGGGUUGAUUGAAAGAGAGGAGAUCAGCCAUCAAAAGUAGUCUUUGCAAG